This 256-nucleotide ribosomal RNA is filed under the name uncultured bacterium. RNAcentral describes it as "partial 16S ribosomal RNA". It matches the Rfam family "Bacterial small subunit ribosomal RNA", at positions 524 to 776 of the family's 1533-position model. The record is from RNAcentral.
UACGUAGGUGGCAAGCGUUGUCCGGAUUUAUUGGGUUUAAAGGGUGCGUAGGCGGUCUUAUAAGUCAGUGGUGAAAUACGGCAGCUCAACUGUCGAGGUGCCAUUGAUACUGUAGGACUUGAGUACAGACGAGGUAGGCGGAAUUGACGGUGUAGCGGUGAAAUGCUUAGAUAUCGUCAAGAACACCGAUAGCGAAAGGCAGCUUACUAGGCUGUAACUGACGCUGAGGCACGAAAGUGUGGGGGAUCAAAACAGG